ACCUUUCUAGUAUUAGAUAGUACAUGCGACUUCCAAUUGCAAAGUCUUGGUCAGAAUCCAAGGAAAGGUA
Molecule: transfer RNA, 70 nt
Filed under: Sphaeramia orbicularis (orbiculate cardinalfish)
Lineage: Eukaryota; Metazoa; Chordata; Actinopteri; Kurtiformes; Apogonidae
Description: tRNA-Gly
Rfam family: tRNA
About the family: Transfer RNA (tRNA) molecules are approximately 80 nucleotides in length. Their secondary structure includes four short double-helical elements and three loops (D, anti-codon, and T loops). Further hydrogen bonds mediate the characteristic L-shaped molecular structure. tRNAs have two regions of fundamental functional importance: the anti-codon, which is responsible for specific mRNA codon recognition, and the 3' end, to which the tRNAs corresponding amino acid is attached (by aminoacyl-tRNA synthetases). tRNAs cope with the degeneracy of the genetic code in two manners: having more than one tRNA (with a specific anti-codon) for a particular amino acid; and 'wobble' base-pairing, i.e. permitting non-standard base-pairing at the 3rd anti-codon position.
Source: RNAcentral